UUGGGAACAUAGCUAAGUGGUAGAGCACUUACCUAGCAUGCAAGGCCCUGGGUUCAAUCUCCAAUGCUGAAA
This 72-nucleotide transfer RNA is filed under the name Marmota monax (woodchuck). Its description in RNAcentral is "tRNA.Ala". Lineage: Eukaryota; Metazoa; Chordata; Mammalia; Rodentia; Sciuridae. The record is from RNAcentral.